GUCAAUUAUUUAUAGCCUCUGGCUAUAGGAAAUUGUUAGUGGCAGACGGGUGAGUAAUGCGUAGGAAUCUACCUAGUAGUACGGAAUAGCCAUUAGAAAUGGUGGGUAAUACUGUAUAAUCCCCGAGGGGGAAAGAUUUAUCGCUAUUAGAUGAGCCUACGUUAGAUUAGCUAGUUGGUGAGGUAAUGGCUUACCAAGGCUAUGAUCUAUAGCUGGUCUGAGAGGACGAUCAGCCACACUGGAACUGAGAUACGGUCCAGACUCCUACGGGAGGCAGCAGUGGGGAAUAUUGGACAAUGGGSGAAASCCUGAUCCAGCUAUGCCGCGUGAGUGAAGAAGGCCUUCGGGUUGUAAAACUCUUUCAAUAGGGAAGAUAAUGACGGUACCUAUAA
RNAcentral lists this ribosomal RNA (392 nucleotides) under Ehrlichia canis. RNAcentral's name for it is "bacterial SSU rRNA". The record is from RNAcentral. Lineage: Bacteria; Pseudomonadati; Pseudomonadota; Alphaproteobacteria; Rickettsiales; Anaplasmataceae.